ACAAGCCCUUUUAAGGAAAAACCGAGCAUUUGAAAGUUUCCCUGACAGUAUUCAACAUCAGAUUUGCCAAGUUGCAGUCUACCAAAAGUAUGAAGCCACAAGAACAGUGUUAAAGCAAGGUCACCCGUGCCAGGACUGUUAUUUUGUGCUUGCUGGUAGUCUAUUAGUGAAAGUAAAUGAUAUCUCAAGGAAAGGAAACUCAACAACUCAAACUUUAAAUGAAGUGGAGGAAGGAGACAUGUUUGGGGAGACUUGUCUUUUGACAUGCAGCCUACGACAUGCAACAGUUGUUUGCAAGACUGAUGUGGAACUUCUGCUGAUAGACAAAGAGG
This is a long non-coding RNA of Polyodon spathula (Mississippi paddlefish), 332 nucleotides long. RefSeq lists it as uncharacterized. The transcript has 3 exons. Lineage: Eukaryota; Metazoa; Chordata; Actinopteri; Acipenseriformes; Polyodontidae. The record is from RefSeq and is a predicted model, not a curated record.